Molecule: non-coding RNA, 154 nt
Organism: Caenorhabditis elegans
Lineage: Eukaryota; Metazoa; Nematoda; Chromadorea; Rhabditida; Rhabditidae
Source: Ensembl
AUCGUGGAUCUUCUCAUUCGUUACAAAAUCUCAUGUUCGCAUCGGAGGUGUGGGAUUCGUUCAGUUGCGUGACGUCACCAUCAAAAUCUCGUGGCUCUCCAUUCACAUUGACGUAAUCUCGUUGUCGAGGGAUCGAGCUCAUCCGACACGCUUU